This 428-nucleotide ribosomal RNA is filed under the name uncultured prokaryote. RNAcentral's name for it is "bacterial SSU rRNA". It matches the Rfam family "Bacterial small subunit ribosomal RNA", at positions 355 to 774 of the family's 1533-position model. The record is from RNAcentral.
UGAGGAAUAUUGCGCAAUGGGGGAAACCCUGACGCAGCGACGCCGUGUGAGCGAUGAAGGCCUUCGGGUUGUAAAGCUCUGUCAGAGGGGAAGAAAGGGGAUAUGGUUAAUACCCAUGUCCAUUGACGGUACCCUUUGAGGAAGCACCGGCUAACUCCGUGCCAGCAGCCGCGGUAAUACGGAGGGUGCGAGUGUUAUUCGGAAUCACUGGGCGUAAAGAGCACGUAGGCGGAUCGGUAAGUCAGAUGUGAAAUCCCGGAGCUCAACUCCGGAACUGCAUUUGAUACUGCCAGUCUUGAGUGAGGUAGAGGGGGGUGGAAUUCCCGGUGUAGAGGUGAAAUUCGUAGAUAUCGGGAGGAACACCAGAGGCGAAGGCGACCCCCUGGGCCUUUACUGACGCUGAGGUGCGAAAGCGUGGGGAGCAAACA